GACGGAAAGACCCCGUGAACCUUUACUAUAGCUUGACACUGAACAUUGAGCCUUGAUGUGUAGGAUAGGUGGGAGGCUUUGAAGUGUGGACGCCAGUCUGCAUGGAGCCGACCUUGAAAUACCACCCUUUAAUGUUUGAUGUUCUAACGUUGGCCCCUAAUCGGGGUUGCGGACAGUGUCUGGUGGGUAGUUUGACUGGGGCGGUCUCCUCCUAAAGAGUAACGGAGGAGCACGAAGGUUGGCUAAUCCUGGUCGGACAUCAGGAGGUUAGUGCAAUGGCAUAAGCCAGCUUGACUGCGAGCGUGACGGCGCGAGCAGGUGCGAAAGCAGGUCAUAGUGAUCCGGUGGUUCUGAAUGGAAGGGCCAUCGCUCAACGGAUAAAAGGUACUCCGGGGAUAACAGGCUGAUACCGCCCAAGAGUUCAUAUCGACGGCGGUGUUUGGCACCUCGAUGUCGGCUCAUCACAUCCUGGGGCUGAAGUAGGUCCCAAGGGUAUGGCUGUUCGCCAUUUAAAGUGGUACGCGAGCUGGGUUUAGAACGUCGUGAGACAGUUCGGUCCCUAUCUGCCGUGGGCGCUGGAGAACUGAGGGGGGCUGCUCCUAGUACGAGAGGACCGGAGUGGACGCAUCACUGGUGUUCGGGUUGUCAUGCCAAUGGCACUGCCCGGUAGCUAAAUGCGGAAGAGAUAAGUGCUGAAAGCAUCUAAGCACGAAACUUGCC
RNAcentral lists this ribosomal RNA (720 nucleotides) under Escherichia coli. RNAcentral's name for it is "partial 23S ribosomal RNA". It matches the Rfam family "Bacterial large subunit ribosomal RNA", at positions 2079 to 2798 of the family's 2925-position model. Lineage: Bacteria; Pseudomonadati; Pseudomonadota; Gammaproteobacteria; Enterobacterales; Enterobacteriaceae. The record is from RNAcentral.